AAAAAGCCUGCCAUGACUGAUCUAAUCAUGAUCCCUAUUUAAUGACCCCAAAAUCACUAAUAACUGUCACUCUAUUCUCAAACCUCAGAUCAUCUACUUUAUUCUCCAAAAAUCCCCAAAAUUUCCAGAAAAUUCUCCGCCAUGGCUAAUCCCCAAGAUAAUCCUGGAACUCCACCACCAGUUUCCCUCAACACCUCAUCUCCCACACCUCCUAGUGAUCCCCCAAAACCUAGAUUCUAUCGCCAGAAAAUGUUAGCCAGAAAAAUAGUUGCAUCUGGUGCUUUGAGGAGGGUUUUGAAUGAAAGACUAUAUGCUAGUCAGAAAAAGGAAGUCCCAGCCGAACAGACUUGCUCAAGUUCUGAGUCCAA
This 368-nucleotide long non-coding RNA is filed under the name Nicotiana benthamiana. RNAcentral describes it as "long non-coding RNA (NBEN_LNC008174)". Lineage: Eukaryota; Viridiplantae; Streptophyta; Magnoliopsida; Solanales; Solanaceae. The record is from RNAcentral.